CCGCGCCGGGCCGCGCCCGCCCCGCCGCGCCGCACUCGGCCGACGGGCUGCUGGCGCUGGCGCUGCGCCGCCUGGCCGAGACGGGCCACGCGGGCCUGCCCUACCGGAAGUACUUCGUGGUCGAGGUGGCGGGGCUGGAGGCCGACGUGCUGCCGCACCUGACGCGGUUGCGGCGCUACGUGCUGCCGGCCGGCGCCGAGCUGCUGCUGCGCGACGUGAGCGGGGCGGGCGCGGGGGGCGCGGAGGCGCUGGCGGAGCUGGCGGCGGCGGCGGCCGAGCUGCUGCGCUUCGUGCGCGAGCAGCCGGACUGCGUGUCGGAGCUGUUCCAAGUGUGCUGAGCGUCAGCCAGCUCGCGACACGUCCCGCCCUCGUGGAAGUUGUGUUUCGAUUUCCUUUAGCGAUGUGACCUGUGACGGGACCGACGUUCUCGGUAAAGUCGUAAUGUUAAUGUUGGUCGUUAACUGACUGACUCCUCUCGGUUCACAUAUGUUUUUCCUUGAAUUUGACGCAAAGAUGAAGUAGAAUAUCUAACUCAUCUGUAACUCAUGACACCAAAAUACCAAUAAAAUUAGUCGUCAAAGUUUAGAGAGGGCGCGGUGCUUAUAUGAAUUGUACUUAUAAAAUAAAAUAUAGGAUAUGUGGCCUCCGCUCUCCGGCUGAUAAUAUAAUAUGUAUCGAUGCAAUAAAUGUAAAAAGUAACAGUCCGUAAGUUGCUGUUCUGGAAAAUAGUCAUAAGACUGAAGUGAUUCACUUGAUACAUUUCAUUUAGUUUGUCGCUUCGUUUUUGCUUCGUUUUAUUUUGUCUUUUGCGAUAUGUUUGUAUCGAACAAACAUCAUAGUCGCCGCAUCCAUUUUAGGAAUGCUUAUACGCGUGUAAUUCGGUAGUUAAAUACGGUACGAUCGUCGGUUAGUCGUCCGUACAUAAGUGCGCUGAACAAAGAAACCUCGAUCCCACAGGUUGAGUCCAGGUGACUGUUCGUAGAGACAUAUAUACAUGGACAUACAUGAUCCAAAAUAUAGUUGAAUAACCAACUUUUGUCCUAUGUCUAAUGUCAUAACGUAAUUUCGAUAAUGGAAAUGGACUUCUUCAUAAUAAUAUUAGAUUUCUGCGGAGCGCAGGGUCGACAGCUCCGCUCCGUCCGCAGGCAAAAGGUUACAAUUUUGACCUCGAGUUUACACGACGAGAGAUUGAGUAGUCAGAGUAAAUUAUUGAAUUAAUGAUUCAAUCAAUGAAUGAUUUUGAACAAACUAUCGAUUUUUACUAUUUUUUUACACAUUAAUUAUGUCAUAUUAAAUGUGUACGUAAACUUUUAUACCCUGUCCAACUAGUUUACGGUUUGACGGGCGGCACUAGUGGUUGCGGCAACGUGACGUUUCGGAUAUCGUUUCGAUUAUUGGCUCUGACUGAUAUUCAGUAUCGAUUAUUAAUUUCUGACGUCGAAUAAAAAAAAUCUUGUAUGCUUAAAUUUCAUUUUUUGUCGAAGGUUUCUAUUUAUUGUGUUUAUUGAAUAAAAAU
This is a long non-coding RNA of Vanessa atalanta (red admiral), 1516 nucleotides long. RefSeq lists it as uncharacterized. The transcript has 2 exons. The record is from RefSeq and is a predicted model, not a curated record. Lineage: Eukaryota; Metazoa; Arthropoda; Insecta; Lepidoptera; Nymphalidae.